UGGGUAGUCCGCACGAGCGCACCCUAUUUUUAGUUGCUACCAUUUAGUUGGGCACUCUAAAAAAACUGCCAGUGAUAAGCUGGAGGAAGGCGGGGAUGACGUCAAGUCCUCAUGGCCCUUACGUGUUGGGCUACACACGUGCUACAAUGGUGCUUACAGUGAGAAGCGAAGAGGCGACUCCAAGCCAAUCCCAAAAAAGCACCUCAGUUCGGAUUGUACUCUGCAACUCGAGUACAUGAAGCUGGAAUUACUAGUAAUCGCGGAUCAGCGCGCCGCGGUGAAUACGUUCCCGGGUCUUGUACACACCGCCCGUCACACCAUGGAAGUUGGUUACACCUUAAGGCAAAGCCUAAAAACUUUGACUACGGUACGAUCAGCGACUGGGGUGAAGUCGUAACAAGGUAGCCGUAGGGGAACCUGCGGCUGGAUCACCUCCUUUCU
Molecule: ribosomal RNA, 441 nt
Filed under: uncultured Pelagibacterales bacterium
Lineage: Bacteria; Pseudomonadati; Pseudomonadota; Alphaproteobacteria; Candidatus Pelagibacterales
Description: bacterial SSU rRNA
Rfam family: Bacterial small subunit ribosomal RNA
Source: RNAcentral